Non-coding RNA from Danionella cerebrum, 70 nucleotides. The record is from the annotation of a GenBank genome assembly. Lineage: Eukaryota; Metazoa; Chordata; Actinopteri; Cypriniformes; Danionidae.
GCAGUCGUGGCCUAGUGAAUAAGGUGAUUGACUGGAAAUCAAAAGGUCGAUGGUUCAAUCUCCAGCUACA